RNAcentral lists this small nuclear RNA (112 nucleotides) under Heterocephalus glaber (naked mole-rat). RNAcentral's name for it is "U2 spliceosomal RNA". It matches the Rfam family "U2 spliceosomal RNA". From Rfam's summary of the family: U2 is a small nuclear RNA (snRNA) component of the spliceosome (involved in pre-mRNA splicing). The record is from Rfam by way of RNAcentral. Lineage: Eukaryota; Metazoa; Chordata; Mammalia; Rodentia; Bathyergidae.
AUUGUUUCUCGGCCUUUUGGCUAAGAUCAAGUGUAGUAUUUGCAUAUGUGUUUCACAAAAGUAAUGUGAAAUGACACAUACACAUACCACAAACAUUUAACACACACCCAUA